This is a long non-coding RNA of Magnolia sinica, 492 nucleotides long. RefSeq lists it as uncharacterized. The transcript is spliced from 3 exons. NCBI's taxonomy places the organism in Eukaryota, Viridiplantae, Streptophyta, Magnoliopsida, Magnoliales, Magnoliaceae. The record is from RefSeq and is a predicted model, not a curated record.
UUUGAAGAAUGGGCUUAAUAUGGUGGACCCAAUUGAGAAUGGGAGAGCAGCAGUAUUGCAAAAGUUGUGGUGAAGUACAGUUGCAUCUCUGGAAGGAGGCUAGGUUGCUUGGAGUUGUUUGAAUCAUGGGAUGAGGCAUCAACCUUCACGUUGCUUACCAUGUAAUCAUUGUUGAUGGUUCGUGGAACCCUACUUAUGAUCUUCAGGCUCAGGUUUGGAGGUAUGGGCAAACAAAGCCAGUUUAUGCAUAUCGUUUGAUGGCACAUGGAACUAUGGAAAAAAUAUAUAAACGGCAGGUGACAAAAGAGGGGCUUGCUGCAAAGGGUGGUUGAUAGGCAACAAAUACAUCGGACCAUUUUUAAGUAAGGAGGUCCUGCAUCUCUUGGAUUUGUAUUUUAAUUGAUGGGACAUAAUUAUGAUGAUCAUUUGUUAAGUUUUCAGGGAAAAUGAUAUUCUUUACAUUAUCUUAUUUCAUCAGUGGCUGACCUAAUU